UGCUCGGAGGGCUGGAGCCCUUCUGCUUUGGAGACAUGCUGGGAGAGCUGGGGGUGUUCAGCCUGGAAGAGAGAAGACUCCAGGGAGACCUGAUUGCUGCCUUUCAGUACCUUAGGGGGCUUGUAAAAGAGAUGGGACAGAAUUUUUAGUAGGGCCUUAUGUGACCAGACUGUGGGGGAAUGGUUGUAAUCUAAAAGACGGUCGAUUCAGACUAGAUGAAAGAAACCCAUUUUUUGCACUCUAGGUUUUGAAACCCUGGCACAGGUUGCCCACAGAGGUGGACAUCCAUCCCUGCAGUCAUUCAAGCUCGUGCUCUGAGCAACCUGACCUAGUCAAAGCUGUCCCUGCUCACUGAAGGGCAUUGGACUGGAUGGCCUUUAAAUGUCCAUUCUGUGACAUCACAGCUCCCCGAGUGUUCCAGGUGGAAGGCCCAGGACCUGGAAACGAGCACAGCAGACACUUCAGCUGCUGCCAAGGGCCACUUCUCCCUCGCCCUUCGCUCUGCCCGUCAGUGCUGAGCUGUUGCUGCUGCCUGGGCUUUUGCUGCUGCCUGCUCUGAAGCCAAUCCCGGCAGGAUGUGCGCUGCUGCCCCAGUGGAGACGGCCAGAGACACCGUGGAGGAGAUGGAAGUGGACAUGGUGCUGGAUAGGGAAGAAAUGAUGGAGGUGGACACGGAAGAGACUGCCGAGGACAUGGACAUUGAUGUGGAGGACAAGAUGGAGGAGAUGGAAGUCGAUGAGAAGGAUGAGGAGGAGCCCAUGGUCCUUGGAUGAAGAUGGAGCCCCAGGAGCAAGAGAGGCAGAUGCUUCCCACGCCCAGCCCACAGGCAGAGUGUGUCCCCUGACGCCAGGCUGGGGCUGGGCUGGAUGGCCCCGCUCAGGGACACGGUGCCCGCAGGGGGCCCUGGAUUGUGGUGGCACAAGCAGCAGCCCCGGCCUGCCCUGCGCUUGCCUGGGGCCAUGCCAGCCCUGCCAGCCCUGUCCCAGCCCCUGGGGCCCAGCUGCCAGCCCACCUGGGCCACUGCUGGCAGCAGAGUCCAGCCCUGCUGCGGCCUUUCUUCAAAGACCGAUGGAGAUGAGGGCAACAGAUAUCACCCCUCUGUAAAUAUGUUCUGAAGUUUCGCGGUUUUCUGUAAAUAUGUUUGGAAGGUUGUUAGACUAUAGGUACCCAUGUAAGUAUGUUAGGACAUUUGUUAGUCUAUAAGCACCCAUGUAAAUAUGUUCUGUAGAUUGUUAGUCUAUGGCCUCCCAUGUAAACAUGUUCUGUAGAUUGAUGUUGUUCUAAGGAUUGUUGCAAUGAAACAUGUUCUGUAAAUCCUAGGUUUUGCUGAUCUUUGGGGAAAAAAUACUGUUUCUUUUUAAAAUCUCAGUUCUCUUUGCAAUUCCUUUGGGCCCAGGCGGCGUUUGCACAGUUGUGGUUUCCACUUGUUCUGGGUUGCCAGGGCUGGAGGUCCCUGGGGGGGCUGGCACGGCCACCCUGGGGCUGGGGGUCCCUGUGCACAGGGGCUCCCACUGACACCACUCCUGGCACUGGGCACUGCUGCUCUUCCUGGGCUGGGCCAGAGCAGUGUCCCCAGGAGCAGAGCUGUCAGCAGCAGA
Vidua macroura (Pin-tailed whydah) is the source of this 1598-nucleotide long non-coding RNA. RefSeq lists it as uncharacterized. Lineage: Eukaryota; Metazoa; Chordata; Aves; Passeriformes; Viduidae. The transcript has 3 exons. The record is from RefSeq and is a predicted model, not a curated record.